ACCGCCGAGUGGAUGACGUCAUACGCUACUCCCGUGUUGGCACGCAAACAACCCGGUAGCUCAACGCUAGCAUCCGGUAUGCUCGCAGUUAGCCACGUCUCACAGAAGCACAGCAAAUUGCACUCUCUGUAGGACUUCAGUCUUCACCAGCACAACCAGCUCAUCAGUCUUGUACUGCAUUCAUUAAUUAUUAUCAAACUGUAAUUUUACAGUAAUUUUACUUACAACCUGGCAACAUCAGACCUUGCAUGUUUCGGUGGAUUUGGGGCCCCCGAAAAAAAUGGGUCCCAUUCAUCCCUUAUUCCGCAAGAUUGUAAAAGUUGCUUGGAAUAACGUUCAGAUUGUUCAUUGCGUGAGCCUCAAUUGUUAUUUUUCUUUUUUUUUUUUCUGCUGACAGGUUUUUCCCUUUGUAUUUCAGAUACUACAAUGAAGACUUGUUGAAAUAAUUGGAUGGUGAAGCACUACUCAGUCUGACCAAGGGCCUCAUAUGUUUGCUUCAACAAGCUCUCUGUCUAGCUCCAGAGAGUUCCUUUAACUCCCAAUCAUACAUACCUUCCUUCCUUUCUUAUUUUCUUCCUGUGUAUGCCCGCGGGAGGCUCUAACCAGUUAUGAGUAGAACGCCUUUGUUCUUUGUUUAGUCCAAAGAACUUCUUUCUCUUUAAGUCAACUCUGUAGCUUUUAUUCAUAGAUUGUUGUUGAUUGGGACUGUUUUUCUGUUAUAGAAAAGACAUACAUGUUGAAGUAGUUGCAUAUAAGUUAUCUCAUAUUUACUCAAUGUUUUAGUAACAGCAUGCAAGUUAUCUCACAUUUAAUAUCUGUUGAAGUGUUUGUACAAAAGGUAUCCAAUAUUUACUCAUUAUUAUUGUAUGUUGUGUUAGUUUGACAAGAAAAUAAAUUUAGCAAAAGAAGGUCUAGUUGCAUUGUUUCACAGGAAAACGGCACUAAACACGCUUCAAGAUAUCUGAUCACAGUCAAGGACGAGUCAGCCAACACACGCAUGCACACACAGUCACACAAUUGUCUGUUUAUAAACAUUUCAGUUUAAUGUUUUGAAAAAGAAAAUACAAUAUUUGUCAUCAACUCAACACACACAGAACGAAGCAUGGUAGAUGUGAGCAGGCAUUCUGAAGCCAAGAUGUCAGUGGCAUGGUCACAGUUUCUGGAUCGGUCUCAGUCAUUUGGAUGGAACAAACCAUAAUUCCGCCUUGGGAGGCGUGUAGUGUACUCGGCACCUUUCGUUAAAAACCUGAAACAGAGAGUGAAGACAAUUUCUCACACUUGCCAUUUCUACUUCCUCUUUUUCUGUACCAUUGCUAGAUAAGAACAAAAGGGGCCUUCUGCGAUUAGUGUUGUGCGGUUGGCCCACUCUGUCAUUGUGCUAACGUGGAGAUGUUAGGUGCUAACGAGCAAGUGGAGACGUUAGAUGCUAUGAUAGUUUCUUGCGCAAGCUUUUUAUUUUUUCCUGUUCAUGCUAAACCAUGCGAUAUGAACAUAUCUGUUAGAGUUGUUAGGGUGGUGCUCACUCUAACUGAUUUUGCAAGAACCACAUAGGAGACAAGCAAGUCUUAGACACCUGCAGGCGGAGAGUUCACUCGUCGCUGUGCUUACAGCGAUGGUCAAAUGAAGUCUGACUCAGGCCUCAACAGGUGCAUAUUUAUUGAGAGAAACAGAGUGGGGUUGAAAGUGGGGGUGUGGGAACACAGGAUGAGGUGAAGCCGCUCCCCUGCUGAUCAAAGCAUAGCAGGGGGCCUUUUACGACGUUCUGUAAACAAAGCAACUUUGAUUGCUUCCUCUGCGUCUAGUGACUAGUCAAUCAGUUGAAAAGAUCUUAGCACUUUGGUCUACUACUUUUGUCUAGACAGGACAACCUAGUUAAAUUAUUACAGGUUACAUUCCAACAUAAUCAUACGAUGAAGAUAUUCUGCAAACCCUAACAGAGUGGUGCUCACUCUAACUUAUUUUUGGAAGAACCACAUGGGAGACAGUAUGCCCUUUUUGAGCACUUGCAAGUGGAGAGUCAUUUGUCGCUGUGCGUACAGCGAUGAUCGAAUGAGGUCUGACUGCAAGAGAGUAUUUAUUGAGAGAAAGCAGGCUGGGUGUGACAUUGGACAUGUUUGGUGGUCACCUCAGCAACUGGUUAAUCAGUGCGGAGGGUCCCAGCUCAUUGUUUUACAAGGUUGUGGAAACAGAAAUUAGUGGAGCAUUUUAGAUGACUAACUAAGCAAGAAUGUUUGGAUGUAAUUUUUUUUGUUGGCGUUGAUUUCUCCGACUGCCCAUAAACGCUCCGUGCGCGCACGGGAAAGAGGCGUGCGGACGUGAAAAAGGCAGCUCUGUAUGGGAGAGACGUUGAAGAGGAAUAAAAACACCCUUGGAAACCAAAACUUGCCCCUCGUCGUGACUCGGAGCCACAACAAAUGUUUCGGAUUUGUGUAGGGUACAUUGUAACCCAGGUGAUCGAGCAAGCGUCUAAUACAAAAGCAUUGCGUUCGUAUGGAGCGUGUUUGAAGUGAACAGCAGAGACGAAAGGAACAAGGCAACGUGUUGUGAAAUAAAAUAUGACCGACCUGUAAUACGCGUUUUGUUAUUUGCUGAUUGUAUUAAACUAUCACAUUCAUUGUCAGUCAAGAAGAGAAGAGGACUAUAUUGCUGAAGCCUUCGCUGUAUCAAAUUGAUUUUUUUUCUUCCUCCAGAGUCUUAUGUUUGACUCAUUGACGUCAAAUUGGCGCGCAGCUGCCCUAUUGCCUAAUUCUUCUGCCACUUCAAUGACUUUCUUUCAAAAUGCUACAGUAUAACUUGCUCUCUUAUCCAUUCUGAUGAAACUGCUAAUUGAACCGAACUCUCGCUAAUUAGUAAAUAGCUGACGUGUCUUGCGCAUCCGUUCUGCGCAGCUGACCCAUAGUGCGCAUGCACAGUCAUACUGCUUCUGCAUGACGUCCGGUCCGCGAUGGAGAUUAAAAAACAAACAAUAUUUGACAAUAACACACCAUCAAAGAUUGCACCAUCGCAUCAAACGAUGUGUCGUCAAUUAUGGAUUUUUUUGACUAAGUGUGUUGGGACAGGAUGGCUGAAUGCGAUGCGCGAUUGACAACAAACAAGAAGAAAGGUGAUUACAAGUUUUAUUUCGGGGGAGAUUUGUCGUGUCUCGUCCCCAGUUUUGCUAUGUGUCUAGGUUGCCAUAGUUUCUGUUCGCGUUGCCCCUCUCUUCCUGUGUCACUUCAAUCGAUGUAACGUGCUUUGUAUUUAAGUCCUGUCUGCCCCUCGCUCACCGUCGGAUCAUUGCAUGUGUUACUGUCAUGAUGUCUGUUUGCUUUCUGUUCCUGUCUUUGGUAAUGUCACCCUGUAUUUUUGUUCCACGACUUUGUCGGUCAAUCCUGUUGUUGGUUUUGUUUUCUAAAAAAAAUAAUAAGAAAAAUUAAAAAAAAAAAAAAAAAAAAAAAAAAAAUUAAAAAUCUUUUGUACCCAUGUAUAAUGCGCACCCCAGAUUUUAGGACAAUAAAUUCGUUAAAUUCUGCGCACUAUACACGGAAAAAACGGUAAAUAAAGUUCCAACAUAAUCAUACGAUCAAAAUAAUCUGUAAACCCCAACAGUAUCAUUGACAAGAAACUAAGAGAUACAUUUGGAAAGCUUUGGAGAUACGCUCGGGGCAUGCACUGGCACACUACACCUUUAAAAAACUCAAUGUGUUGCUCAAAUUUGCUGUUCUGAAAUUGUGUGUAAAACCGCCUUUAGACUGGGCAAAAGCUGGUUAUUGGUUUAGAACAGGGGUGGGCAAACCUUUUGACUGGCGGGCCAAAUUUGGUUCUAAAUUUAGACCGGGGGGCCGAACCAGUAGCAGAUGGAUGUAGUGUUUGUGCGAAAGAAUAGAAAUGACAUGUAAAGGUCAUUGCAUAAAAGGUUUGUACUUUUAGUAGGUAGUAAAGCA
Molecule: long non-coding RNA, 3923 nt
Organism: Syngnathus typhle (broad-nosed pipefish)
Lineage: Eukaryota; Metazoa; Chordata; Actinopteri; Syngnathiformes; Syngnathidae
Exons: 2
Source: RefSeq, a predicted model, not a curated record